RNAcentral lists this ribosomal RNA (801 nucleotides) under Apiospora arundinis. RNAcentral's name for it is "Arthrinium arundinis partial large subunit ribosomal RNA". It matches the Rfam family "Eukaryotic large subunit ribosomal RNA", at positions 114 to 943 of the family's 3401-position model. The record is from RNAcentral. Lineage: Eukaryota; Fungi; Ascomycota; Sordariomycetes; Amphisphaeriales; Apiosporaceae.
UUUGAAAUCUGGCCCUUGGGUCCGAGUUGUAAUUUGCAGAGGAUGCUUUUGGUGCGGUGCCUUCCGAGUUCCCUGGAACGGGACGCCUUAGAGGGUGAGAGCCCCGUACGGUUGGCCACCAAGCCUGUGUAAAGCUCCUUCGACGAGUCGAGUAGUUUGGGAAUGCUGCUCAAAAUGGGAGGUAUAUUUCUUCUAAAGCUAAAUACUGGCCAGAGACCGAUAGCGCACAAGUAGAGUGAUCGAAAGAUGAAAAGCACUUUGAAAAGAGGGUUAAAUAGCACGUGAAAUUGUUGAAAGGGAAGGAUUUAUGACCAGACUUUUUCUGGGGGGAUCAUCCGGUGUUCUCACCGGUGCACUUCCCCCAGUUGAGGCCAGCAUCGGUUUCUGCCGGGGGAUAAAAGCUUUGGGAAUGUGGCUCCUUCGGGAGUGUUAUAGCCCGUUGCAUAAUACCCUGGCGGGGACCGAGGUUCGCGCAUUGCAAGGAUGCUGGCGUAAUGGUUAUUAAUCACCCGUCUUGAAACACGGACCAAGGAGUCGAACAUUUGUGCGAGUGUUUGGGUGUUAAACCCUCACGCGUAAUGAAAGUGAACGGAGGUGAGAGCCUUUAGGGGUGCAUCAUCGACCGAUCCUGAUGUCUUCGGAUGGAUUUGAGUAAGAGCAUAACUGUUCGGACCCGAAAGAUGGUGAACUAUGCGUGGAUAGGGUGAAGCCAGAGGAAACUCUGGUGGAGGCUCGCAGCGGUUCUGACGUGCAAAUCGAUCGUCAAAUCUGCGCAUGGGGGCGAAAGACUAAUCGAACCAU